GGGUCGAAUUGGAGCUACAGCUGCUGGCCUAUACCACAGCCAAAGCAAUACAGGAUUCAAACCACAGGGGCAACCUACACCACAGCUCAGGGCAACGCUGUAUCCUUUAACCCACUGAGCAAGGCCAGGGAUUGAACCGCGUCUUCAUGGAUACUAGUCGGGUUUGUUACCACUGAGACAUGACGGGAACUCCCUCCAGGUAAUUUUUUAUAGAACUUUAUCACCAAAUUCAUUCAUAUAAAAAGAAAAGAUAGUUUACAAAGAAUAAACAAGCAAUUUGUUUUUAAGGUACUUUUUUGUUCAUUGACUUGAAUGUCCUACCACCAGUCCCAAACUAUUUUAACAGGGGAUUUAACUAAAUGGAUGAACAUAUUUCUAUCUGUAGCUCAGAAUCGAUCCCUGGCUUAGGAACCCACUUCAGCCAUUUAAAAAAAAAAAAAAAUUACUUAUCAUGCUAAAUGCUAAAUAUUUUGGAGGCAUUGUAAUCCCAUCUGCAGAAAAGUCUGGUUUAUUUAAAUUUAUCAUGGGAGAACAGGUACAUGUGUGUUUUUUAAAAAUCAUUCCCUUCAUUAAAAAAAAAUCAUUCACUUCAUGUACUGUCAUAUUCUAUUUUGAAAACCCACUAUCCAAUUUAGUUUCUUUUCCAAAUAGUCACAUUUUUGGACAAUAACAAUGAUAUGACCUAAUAAACUAAGCAAAUGAUGUGAAUUAAUAUACACAUGCCUCUAUGAUGCCCAUGGAGUAAAUACAAUCAACCAGAAAGAAUAUCAAAAAAUCAAAUGAGCUUUUCCUACUCUAUCAAUUUCUUUUCCUUGUAAUUCUAUUUUCAAGAAGAAAUUCUGGCAAACUCUAAACCAUCUAACUGUAAUUUGGGCUUAGGGAGGGUGGUAACUAAACAACAGAACUUGAAAUAAGACAGGAAGGAGUUUUUAAUAUUUUAUAAUGAUGAUUUAUUUAUAAGUAAAUGCAUUUGUUCUCACACAUAUUGCCACCCAAAUAAACACACAUUAUACAUUGCAAAUAAGUCAUUUUCUUUUCUACUUAUGAUAAAGAGCAGUAAGAUAUUUAAAGACAGCAAAUUUCAAAUAAUUUCUGCCUCAUAGAUAAUAAUAAAGGUAUGAUUUAUUUAACACCUUUCACCAAGUUCCUGAAAGUUCAGUGAUGUCAAAUAAAUCCAUAACAUAAGGAAAUAAGUAGCACAAGAGCCCUGCCAGCCACCCCUUUUUACAGAUGGAAUAUGACAACUUAAGCAAUUUACCCAGAGGUCAGGGAGCUAAUUCCUGGCAUUCAAUCAAUAGAUAUUUAUUAAUGGCUUCUAUAGCGAGGACUCCGUGUUGGAUGCUUGGAUGAAAAAUACUUUCCUCUUUUUGCUUAUUUGUAGCUUCUCAUUUUUCUACCAAAAAAACCCAAAUCUUACUUGGGUAAUAAAAGAAAAUGUUUAAAACAAUAAUGUAAGGCUAAAUGAAUCUGGAGAAGAGCAAAGUUCUGGAAUCUGAAAUAUUUGAAAAUAAGAAAAAGUGAGAUCAAGGUCUCCCAUCUUCCACUAUACACGUUUGCCUAAAGAAAAAAUAAUUAAAUAAAUAAAACAGGUUAGUAAUUGGAUUUUAUAAAGAAAACUGAUUUAGAGCCAGCAAAUCUAUGUUCUCAGCCUAGUCUGUUAUCUCCUUGAUGGAAUAAAUAACUUUGAGCCAUUUACUUAACUUCUUUCUACCCCAGAUUCUUCUACCCAUAAAACUUUUAAAAGGACCCCUGUGUAGAUUCAAGGUAAUAUAUUAGACAGUUACAAAAAAAUCAUUUUAUAAAUAUUAAAUUCCUACCAAACAUUGGCCUUAACACAUAACUAUUUGGCCAACAGUUAUGCAUAUUUUCAUCAAACAGAGACAAAGGCAAGGUGUCAUUUUAACAAAAUUUCUGACACAGAGUUUGUUGCUAGAGAUAUUAAAACACAGUCUCUGCCCUACUGACUAUCUCCUACCAUUUUAUGGGUCUAGAACUCUAGAGGGAUGUGGAUAUUAUGUCUCUGCCAACAAUGUAGCAGGGAAGAUAAAGACCUUAAAAGAAUAAAAAAAAAAAAAGAUUAGGAUAACACAAUUCUGCUAAAUUACUAAAAUGAAUGAUAUAAAUUUUGCAAGUUUCUUAAUUAACUAAAUGAUUAAUUUGGAAACUUAAUUAAUGAUUAAUGACAAAUGAUAUACAUUUGAAAGGGUCUCAGUUUUUUUUACCAAUAUAGUUUACUUGGAUUUCAUAAUUUAGUUAAGUGCUUUUGUUCUCUCUGCAUGACUUUAACCCUAGUUUCAUUGAGAUAGUGUUACAACUGCCAAAAUAUGUGUUCCUGGAGAUUUGUUGUGAUGUUAUAAACUCAGAUAUCAUUUAACUCUAUUAGGAUUUUCAGUUUCCCUUAAAUGUAUUGCGAUAACAGAAACUAUCUUAGUAAGUUAAAAUGCAAAAUGUUCAAGUCACCAAUAGAUUUCCUGGGAUGAAUUAACCUGGGUGUUUCCUACCAUCACCACCAUGGCCUAAUUAACAUCUCCAACCAGUGUGUUUCUGGCUGUUCGUUUAUUCCUUUCAUAAACAUUGAACACUUCUUACACACUGUGACUAAAAAUGCAAGCAUGAAAGAAGGGGAUUUAUCCUUAAAGAUAUCAUAAGCUAGGCAUUUUCUACCCAGGCAUUUUAGAUCCAAAGUAAUAAUUUCAAUCAACUCCCUCCUCCCCAUCCUCAGGUUGCAGCAUUAAAUGAACGAAAGUGCCAAGUCUCUAGAAACAAUAGUUGAACACUCUGGACAGAACAAACUUUCAGGAUGAUUGGAAAUAACUAUAUAUGUAAGCAUAUGCAUGCUUUAAUGCAACAGCUCUCAACAAAAAAACAAAAACAAAAGCUUUUCACAAGCUACAUAAGCUAUAAUACAACACCAAAUAAAUCAAAUUUAAUUACAACUCAAUCUCCUCCUAGUCAACCAAGAGUCAGUCAGUCACUCUCCCUAACAAAUUUCAACUGUCAUUCUUUCGAUUAUCUGUGGUAUUACCAGCACUAUAGAAAUUUUUUUUUUCUUAGCUAGGACUCCAUUAGUUUAAUUACACUAGAGCAGUGGUCUCUGGAUUGCAAUAUCAGCAUCACCAGGAGAAACUGUGUAAAAUGCCAGUUUUGGUCCCUACCCCAGACCUCUUGAAUCAGGAACUCUCAGGUAGUCCCUGGCAAUCCACUCUCCCAAGCCUUUCAGGCAAUUCUAAUGCUUGUACAAGUGUAAGAAACCCUGUCCUUGAGAGAUUCUCUCACACACUCACCCUAGUCAGAGCAGAAAGUCUCUUUUUUCUAUGAAUCACUUUUUCUCAUUGUUUCAGUUACAUGGGCUGAUUUUUCCUCUACCAACCGGGUAAAGUUAUUUCCGUUAUCUCAUAAACUAUGUUGCUUUCUAAAACACAAUUAUUUUUGAAAGGAUCAAAGGAUUAUGUACAAUCACCCUCUAAAAUUUCCUUUUCUAACUUUAUUUAAGAACAGAAAAACUGUUCCAACAUUCAGUUUUACCCACUGUAAUUUUUUUUUUUUUAAAGAAAAAGAACAACAACAAAUUGAAAUGCUCAAUAGUAUGCUUAUGGAGAGUUCCUGUUGUGGCACAGCAGAAACAAAUGCAACUAGUAACUAUGAGGUCCAAGGUUCGAUCCCUGGUCUUGCCCAGUGGGUUAAAGAUCCAGAGUUGCCUUGAGCUGUGGUGUAGGUCACAGACACGGCUCAGAUCUUGCAUUGCUGUGGCUGUGGUGUAGGCCAGCAGCUGCAGCUUCUAUUCAACCCCUAGCCUGGGAACCUCCAUCUGCUGUGAGUGAGACCCUAAAAAGCAAAAAAAAAAGGAAAGCAUGCUUAUGAUUCUCAAUGUGAUAAUAACACAAGAGGUAUGUCUGUUCACUGCUCAAGCAGUACCUGGCAGGAAGACACCGACAUGGUCACAGAAGGAACUUUCUAAACAUCAGAGGCUAAACAACAGUUGCUUUUCAUUUGUUGGUAAUGAGUAGGAGUAGUUCCAAAAUUCAAGCUUAAUUCACCAGAUAAUACGCAAACUUUUCCCAUAAGAAAAGUCAAGAACAAAGUAAUCCCAUAAUGUCACUGCUAUGAAAACCAUAAUCCUAUUAAAAAAAAAAAAAAAAAGCAAAAGACAACAACAACAAAAAAAAAAACCCAACUGAGCUAAUAAACUAAUAAACUCAAAGAGCAAAGUAGCUGCAGGCUGUUUAACAGUAAUGGACUCAAAGCCUGGCCUAUGUACAAGAGCGAAGCACAAUACAUAAAUAAUUAUUGUGCAACAUGAAAAUUAUUACUGGACUUUCUAAUCAUCACACAAAUAGAAUUUCCUGUACCACACUCUUGUUUGAUGUCUGUUCCUAGAAGGCUAGAGAUGAUGUCUAAUAUAAGUGUCAAAUGCCUAGAGACAUGGAAUAGCCAACUCCCUUAACUGAUAAAAUAACCAGCCCCUUAACACACAGGGACUCUGAACUUGCUGCAGCUGCUUCUGAUUUGCAAGUGUCCACUGUGAGUAUCUUUUUUUGUCUCUUGGCUCUUAAACUUGCAAUAUAUCAUUUCUGAGGACCUUGACACUACUUCUAUAACUCUAAUUAUUGGACUGAAUUGAAACAAAAGACUCUUCGGUAACUUCAGCUUAAGACCACACAGAAACUUUUACAAUAACCUACUUAAAUAUAUCAGUUGUGUAAACUGGAAGAGAAGGUUUGGAGAGCAUUAAAGGGCCUGAAUCUCUUAUAAUCUAAAUGCAAGCUAAAUUUCAAAGACUAGAACACCUUAAAAAUUAGGUUUGGGUGGAUAUAUAAAUGUUCAAACACUGAGAGUACUUUCAUUUUCAAUGACUAGCUGGCCCAUGGUCAAUGUUAACUAUAUGAGUCAACUACUUCCAAGUUACCACUGAAAAAUAAAUACCUUGGCAAUCUGCUCCUGCACAUGAAUCCCCUCACCUGUAUACUACAAGCCUCAGUCUGCACACAAAAAGCCUCUGCCUCCUUCAGCAGACCACACAUCUUAGCUUCUAUCCAUCCCAUCCCAGUUUGAUAUCAUCAUAUAUACAGCUCCCUCUCUGCUGAUGUAGCUGUUAGCUCAAGAAGAUAGUGCCCUACAGGCAGUGUGACCAAAGAGGAUAAAAAGCAGACCAAAGAAGUAUCCUGUGACUAGAAUUUAAUGAUAACAGUUUUCUCUCAUAGCUUUUAAAGGGAUUCUGAAGACAACAUCAUUGAAAGCACGUAUAUCUGGAAUCUAAUAUGCAGCACAGGAGUUCCCGUCAUGGUGCAGUGGUUAACGAAUCCGACUAGGAACCAUGAGGUUGUGGGUUUGAUCCCUGGCCUUGCUCAGUGGGUUGAGGAUCCGGUGUUGCUGUGAGCUGUG
This 5382-nucleotide long non-coding RNA is filed under the name Sus scrofa (pig). Its description in RNAcentral is "lncRNA (ENSSSCG00035000045.1)". Lineage: Eukaryota; Metazoa; Chordata; Mammalia; Artiodactyla; Suidae. The record is from RNAcentral.